Molecule: ribosomal RNA, 507 nt
Filed under: uncultured organism
Description: SSU rRNA
Rfam family: Bacterial small subunit ribosomal RNA
Source: RNAcentral
AGCUAGAGUUUGAUCCGUGGCUCGAGGACGACGCUGGCGGCGUGCCUAACACAUGCAAGUCGAACGGGGUCAUUUGCUUAAUCCUUCGGGAAAGCGGCUUUUGACUUAGUGGCGAACGGGUGAGUAACACGUGAGCAAUCUGCCUCUCAGAGGGGGAUACCGUCUGGAAACGGACGUUAAUACCGCAUAACGUAUUUUGAUCACAUGGUCUUAAUACCAAAGGAGCAAUCCGCUGAGAGAUGAGCUCGCGUCUGAUUAGCCAGUUGGCGGGGUAACGGCCCACCAAAGCGACGAUCAGUAGCCGGACUGAGAGGUUGAACGGCCACAUUGGGACUGAGACACGGCCCAGACUCCUACGGGAGGCAGCAGUGGGGAGUAUUGCGCAAUGGGGGAAACCCUGACGCAGCAACGCCGCGUGUGGGAAGAAGGUCUUCGGAUUGUAAACCAUUGUUCUGUGGGACGAUACAAGACGGUACCACAGGAGAAAGCUCCGGCUAACUACGUGCC